GACGAACGCUGGCGGCGUGCCUAACACAUGCAAGUCGAACGGAGCACUUCGGUGCUUAGUGGCGAACGGGUGAGUAACGCGUGAGAAACCUGCCUUUCAGUGGGGGACAACAGUGGGAAACUACUGCUAAUACCGCAUAAUGUUAUUUGGGGGCAUCCCUGAAUAACCAAAGAUUUAUUGCUGAAAGAUGGUCUCGCGUCUGAUUAGCUAGUUGGUGAGGUAACGGCUCACCAAGGCGACGAUCAGUAGCCGGUCUGAGAGGAUGAACGGCCACAUUGGGACUGAGAUACGGCCCAGACUCCUACGGGAGGCAGCAGUGGGGAAUAUUGGGCAAUGGGCGAAAGCCUGACCCAGCAACGCCGCGUGAAGGAAGAAGGCCUUCGGGUU
This 387-nucleotide ribosomal RNA is filed under the name uncultured bacterium. Its description in RNAcentral is "bacterial SSU rRNA". It matches the Rfam family "Bacterial small subunit ribosomal RNA", at positions 28 to 424 of the family's 1533-position model. The record is from RNAcentral.